Molecule: ribosomal RNA, 468 nt
Filed under: uncultured bacterium
Lineage: Bacteria
Description: partial 16S ribosomal RNA
Rfam family: Bacterial small subunit ribosomal RNA
Source: RNAcentral
GACGAACGCUGGCGGCGUGCUUAACACAUGCAAGUCGAACGGAAAGGCCCUGCUUUUGUGGGGUGCUCGAGUGGCGAACGGGUGAGUAACACGUGAGUAACCUGCCCUUGACUUUGGGAUAACUUCAGGAAACUGGGGCUAAUACCGGAUAGGAGCUCCUGCUGCAUGGUGGGGGUUGGAAAGUUUCGGCGGUUGGGGAUGGACUCGCGGCUUAUCAGCUUGUUGGUGGGGUAGUGGCUUACCAAGGCUUUGACGGGUAGCCGGCCUGAGAGGGUGACCGGCCACAUUGGGACUGAGAUACGGCCCAGACUCCUACGGGAGGCAGCAGUGGGGAAUAUUGCGCAAUGGGCGGAAGCCUGAUGCAGCAACGCCGCGUGCGGGAUGACGGCCUUCGGGUUGUAAACCGCUUUCGCGUGUGACGAAGCGUGAGUGACGGUAAUGGGUAAAGAAGCACCGGCUAACUACGUG